RNAcentral lists this ribosomal RNA (1349 nucleotides) under uncultured bacterium. RNAcentral's name for it is "bacterial SSU rRNA". It matches the Rfam family "Bacterial small subunit ribosomal RNA". The record is from RNAcentral.
AGAGUUUGAUCCUGGCUCAGGAUGAACGCUGGCGGCGUGCCUAACACAUGCAAGUCGAGCGAACCCUUCGGGGUGAGCGGCGGACGGGUGAGUAACGCGUGGGUAACCUGCCCUGUACACACGGAUAACAUACCGAAAGGUAUGCUAAUACGAGAUAAUAUGUAAUGAUCGCAUGGUCGAUACAUCAAAGCUCCGGCGGUACAGGAUGGACCCGCGUCUGAUUAGCUAGUUGGUGAGGUAAUGGUUCACCAAGGCGACGAUCAGUAGCCGACCUGAGAGGGUGAUCGGCCACAUUGGAACUGAGACACGGUCCAAACUCCUACGGGAGGCAGCAGUGGGGAAUAUUGCACAAUGGGCGAAAGCCUGAUGCAGCAACGCCGCGUGAGCGAUGAAGGCCUUCGGGUCGUAAAGCUCUGUCCUCAAGGAAGAUAAUGACGGUACUUGAGGAGGAAGCCCCGGCUAACUACGUGCCAGCAGCCGCGGUAAUACGUAGGGGGCAAGCGUUAUCCGGAUUUACUGGGUGUAAAGGGAGCGUAGACGGUAUGGCAAGUCUGAAGUGAAAGCCCGGGGCUCAACCCCGGGACUGCUUUGGAAACUGUCGCACUAGAGUGCGGGAGAGGUAAGUGGAAUUCCUAGUGUAGCGGUGAAAUGCGUAGAUAUUAGGAGGAACACCAGUGGCGAAGGCGGCUUACUGGACCGUAACUGACGUUGAGGCACGAAAGCGUGGGGAGCAAACAGGAUUAGAUACCCUGGUAGUCCACGCCCUAAACGAUGAGUACUAAGUGUAGCCGUAAGGCCGUGCUGAAGUUAACGCAUUAAGUACUCCGCCUGAGUAGUACGUACGCAAGUAUGAAACUUAAAGGAAUUGACGGGAGCCCGCACAAGCGGUGGAGCAUGUUGUUUAAUUCGACGAUACGCGAAGAACCUUACCAGGUCUUGACAUCCUUCGCAAAGCUGUAGAGAUAUAGUGGAGGUUAGCGAAGAGACAGGUGGUGCAUGGUUGUCGUCAGCUCGUGUCGUGAGAUGUUGGGUUAAGUCCCGCAACGAGCGCAACCCUUGCCUUUAGUUGCCAGCAUUAAGUUGGGCACUCUAGAGGGACUGCCAGGGAUAACCUGGAGGAAGGUGGGGAUGACGUCAAAUCAUCAUGCCCCUUAUGCUUAGGGCUACACACGUGCUACAAUGGGUGGUACAGAGGGCAGCCAAGUCGUGAGGCGGAGCUAAUCCCUUAAAGCCAUUCUCAGUUCGGAUUGUAGGCUGAAACUCGCCUACAUGAAGCUGGAGUUACUAGUAAUCGCAGAUCAGAAUGCUGCGGUGAAUGCGUUCCCGGGUCUUGCACACACCGCCCGUCA